Molecule: microRNA precursor, 58 nt
Filed under: Homo sapiens (human)
Lineage: Eukaryota; Metazoa; Chordata; Mammalia; Primates; Hominidae
Description: miAB12_pre
Source: RNAcentral
UAGCCCUUCCGGAUCCUGCGCGCAGAGUGAGUGGCCGUGAGGUUCCGGGUGCCGGGGG